GACGAACGCUGGCGGCGUGCUUAACACAUGCAAGUCGAACGGAAAGGCCCUGCUUUUGUGGGGUGCUCGAGUGGCGAACGGGUGAGUAACACGUGAGUAACCUGCCCUUGACUUUGGGAUAACUUCAGGAAACUGGGGCUAAUACCGGAUAGGAGCUCCUGCCGCAUGGUGGGGGUUGGAAAGUUUCGGCGGUUGGGGAUGGACUCGCGGCUUAUCAGCUUGUUGGUGGGGUAGUGGCUUACCAAGGCUUUGACGGGUAGCCGGCCUGGGAGGGUGACCGGCCACAUUGGGACUGAGAUACGGCCCAGACUCCUACGGGAGGCAGCAGUGGGGAAUAUUGCACAAUGGGCGGAAGCCUGAUGCAGCAACGCCGCGUGCGGGAUGACGGCCUUCGGGUUGUAAACCGCUUUCGCCUGUGACGAAGCGUGAGUGACGGUAAUGGGUAAAGAAGCACCGGCUAACUACGUG
This 468-nucleotide ribosomal RNA is filed under the name uncultured bacterium. RNAcentral's name for it is "partial 16S ribosomal RNA". It matches the Rfam family "Bacterial small subunit ribosomal RNA", at positions 28 to 507 of the family's 1533-position model. The record is from RNAcentral.